UAGGGAAUCUUCGGCAAUGGACGGAAGUCUGACCGAGCAACGCCGCGUAAGUGAAGAAGGUUUUCGGAUCGUAAAGCUCUGUUGUAAGAGAAGAACGAGUGUGAGAGUGGAAAGUUCACACUGUGACGGUAUCUUACCAGAAAGGGACGGCUAACUACGUGCCAGCAGCCGCGGUAAUACGUAGGUCCCGAGCGUUGUCCGGAUUUAUUGGGCGUAAAGCGAGCGCAGGCGGUUAGAUAAGUCUGAAGUUAAAGGCUGUGGCUUAACCAUAGUAGGCUUUGGAAACUGUUUAACUUGAGUGCAAGAGGGGAGAGUGGAAUUCCAUGUGUAGCGGUGAAAUGCGUAGAUAUAUGGAGGAACACCGGUGGCGAAAGCGGCUCUCUGGCUUGUAACUGACGCUGAGGCUCGAAAGCGUGGGGAGCAAACAGGAUUAGAUACCCUGGUAGUCCACGCUGUAAACGAUGAGUGCUAGGUGUUAGACCCUUUCCGGGGUUUAGUGCCGUAGCUAACGCAUUAAGCACUCCGCCUGGGGAGUACGACCGCAAGGUUG
Molecule: ribosomal RNA, 550 nt
Filed under: uncultured bacterium
Lineage: Bacteria
Description: bacterial SSU rRNA
Rfam family: Bacterial small subunit ribosomal RNA
Source: RNAcentral